AGCUGAAUGGCGCAGUGGAAGCGCGCCGGGCUCAUAACCCGGAGGACGCACGACCGAAACGUGCUUCAGCUA
This 72-nucleotide transfer RNA is filed under the name Pyrenophora seminiperda CCB06. RNAcentral's name for it is "tRNA-iMet (CAT) (tRNA-iMet-CAT-2-1)". It matches the Rfam family "tRNA". From Rfam's summary of the family: Transfer RNA (tRNA) molecules are approximately 80 nucleotides in length. Their secondary structure includes four short double-helical elements and three loops (D, anti-codon, and T loops). Further hydrogen bonds mediate the characteristic L-shaped molecular structure. tRNAs have two regions of fundamental functional importance: the anti-codon, which is responsible for specific mRNA codon recognition, and the 3' end, to which the tRNAs corresponding amino acid is attached (by aminoacyl-tRNA synthetases). tRNAs cope with the degeneracy of the genetic code in two manners: having more than one tRNA (with a specific anti-codon) for a particular amino acid; and 'wobble' base-pairing, i.e. permitting non-standard base-pairing at the 3rd anti-codon position. Lineage: Eukaryota; Fungi; Ascomycota; Dothideomycetes; Pleosporales; Pleosporaceae. The record is from Rfam by way of RNAcentral.